This 460-nucleotide ribosomal RNA is filed under the name uncultured bacterium. RNAcentral's name for it is "partial 16S ribosomal RNA". It matches the Rfam family "Bacterial small subunit ribosomal RNA", at positions 338 to 795 of the family's 1533-position model. The record is from RNAcentral.
CCUACGGGAGGCUGCAGUGAGGAAAUUUGGUCAAUGGCCGGAAGGCUGAACCAGCCAUGCCGCGUGAAGGUCAGUGCCCUAUGGGCGUUAAACUUCUUUUGUGCGGGAGCAAUAAUGGUCACGUGUGGCCCGACGAGAGUACCGUACGAAUAAGCAUCGGCUAACUCCGUUCCAGCAGCCGCGGUAAUACGGGGGAUGCAAGCGUUUUCCGGAUUUAUUGGGUUUAAAGGGUGCGUAGGCUGGGAGGUAAGUCAGCGGUGAAAUGCCCCCGCUCAACGGGGUGAAGUGCCAUUGAUACUGCCGGGCUGGAAUGCGGAUGCCGUGGGAGGAAUGUGUGGUGUAGCGGUGAAAUGCAUAGAUAUCACACAGAACACCGAUUGCGAAGGCAUCUCACGAAUCCGCGAUUGACGCUGAUGCACGAAAGCGUGGGUAUCAAACAGGAUUAGAUACCCCAGUAGUC